This 265-nucleotide ribosomal RNA is filed under the name uncultured archaeon. Its description in RNAcentral is "partial 16S ribosomal RNA". It matches the Rfam family "Archaeal small subunit ribosomal RNA", at positions 717 to 982 of the family's 1478-position model. The record is from RNAcentral.
AGUCACUGACAUUAGAUACCCGUGUAGUCCAGGGUGUAAACGCUGCAGACUUGGUGUUGGAAAUCCUUCGAGGGUAUUCAGUGCCGGAGAGAAGUUGUUAAGUCUGCUACUUGGGGAGUACGUCCGCAAGGAUGAAACUUAAAGGAAUUGGCGGGGGAGCACCACAACGGGUGGAGCCUGCGGUUUAAUUGGACUCAACGCCGGAAAUCUCACCGGAUAGGACAGACAUAUGAUAGUCGGGCUGAAGACUCUACUUGAUGAUCUG